AAUGUGUGGUUGAAAAUGAGUUUUGGAAAAAUAAAUUUUUAGAAGAAUGGUGUUCAAACAAGGGCUUAAGUAAUAUUUCUUUAGAUUAAGUUAUAAGGAAAAUUGCAGUAGCGAUCCCUAACCUUUUCAAUUUUUUCAAACUUUACCCUAACCUUCAAUUUGUACCAGCUAAGAUCCCUAACCUUUCAGAAAUAUGCACCUGAGAUCCAAAUGGAUGGAAACUGUCCAUUUGACCAUUAGUUGACAAAUAAAAUGAUUUUGCCACAUUAUUAAUUAUUUCUAUAAGGGUACCUUUCUCUCUUUCCAUAUAAAAAAAUUACAAUAAUUAAAUGAAAAAUAAAAAUCAUCAUCUUCCACAACUACCCCAUCCCCAUCUAAACCCCUACCCUUAUCCUUGCCUCAAAACCCAACCCUAGCUACCCAUCAUUGUCCUAAUCUGCCCACCGCCAUCAAUUCACAACCUCCACCACGUCUGCUACGCUCUUAUUCGUUGCCAAUUGAACCCAAAUGAGAAAUCAAAAUCGAUGCCACCACCACUUCGCCUCAAAAUUGAUGCCAUCACCACCUCUGAUUGCAAUGGUGAGCUACUCCUAUCUAUAUAUGAAAUUAAAUCAAGUUUUGACCAUCCAACAUUCUCAAGUUCAAUUUACGACUGCCAUUCCUCUACAAAUGUCAAGACAUUUCUUCUCUAAUUCUCAAAUUUCCUUAGAAUUUUGUGCGGCAGCACCAGAGCUUGGAGAAACUGCAACAACAUGAGCGCUUCUCAAACGGAGACUAUUUCAUGGUUUAACAACCAGCUUGCCAGCGAUGCUGCAGCUAAGGCCAUUGAGAAAGCUUGGACCAAGAAACAAAUUUUGCAAUUGCUGCUGCAGGAGUUGGAAUUGAGCCUAGAUUUGAAGAAUCUAGGAUGGUAUUAGGAUACUUAGCCCAGUGGCACUAUCAAUUUGGUGGAUUUCCUCUGAGUUUGUGGUAGGGGUGUCUGGUGUUUGAGGAUUGCAGGAGGAGGUGGUGGAUGUGUAGUGGUAGUGUUGGUGGUUCUUAUUUAAUUUUCAAUUUCUGCAGAUUCAUUGAUUGAGGUGGUGGCGGCUGUGAAUUUAGUGGUUGUGGCAGCAACAAACGGUGGUGGUUUUAGGCAAUGGAUUGUGGGGUGGGGUGGGGAAGGCAAUGAAUAGUUUUUUUCCUUUUAUUUUAAUUGUUUUAUAGGGUUCAAUAGCAAAGUUACCCUUUAAAUUGGUCAAAGUUCGUUAAAGUUCAAUUUUAUUGGUCAACUAACAGUCAAAUGGAUGAUUUCCAUCUAUUUGAAUGGUUUCCUCUGACAAUAACUCAUUCCACAAGCCAUAUAGCUUUGAAGUGACAUUUACCAUUUUUUGUACUUUCCAUUAAUGCCCUUUACUUUCCAUAGGCGGCUGGCACUUGUAUUUCCAAUUAGAAUCUAAGGGCAAAAUAGACAGCUUAGUUUCAACAGUAUUUUCCAAUUUGUAUCUGUUCUGACAUUUGUCUGACUUCUUAUCCUGUGUUAUCAUUCAUUAUUGUAGGGGGAAUGAGAUUUGGUCUAAAAAAAACUCAUUAAAAUGAGUACCAAAUGGCACUAGGUUUAAUAAUUCUAUAAAAUUUUAGUUUAUCAGAUAUUCUUUUGACUUUAGAUUCUUUAUUUUAGACUUGAGCCCCAUUUUAUUAUAUUAAGAAUGCAUUUUGAAAUAGUAAAUUGAUGGAGAAUGUGCGAUUGAAAAUAAUGGAGAUCAAACAAAGGUUAUAUAAAUAAGGUUUUAUUUAUGAAUAAUAUUUACAUCUCAUUAUUUUUAGUUCUUUUUGUCCUAGCUUGUGGGAUCGUGUUUCGUUGGCCUUCAUUUCAGUUUUGUGAUAAAAAUAGGUUUUUCUUUUUUGCGGUAUAAAUCUGCCUUCGUUUUUUGUCCAUUUUAGUUUCAUAUCAAAGAAAGUUAAUUUUGUUUUGUUUCUUUGUAUUUUACUGUUGGUCAUUGCUGGAAAUUGAUAUUCUUGUGUGGAUGCAUGUGAGGGAUCUUGCCUCGCUCAUAUUCGCUUCAGUUCUAUGGCACAUAGCAGGUUUGUUUUAGGUUAAAUUUAUAGAUUAAGUAUGCUGGUCCUUUUUUUUAAUGCAUAUGUAUGAUGUCUUUCAGUUUUGACGCAGUUCUUUUUCCUUUUUUUGCCUGUCUAGGGGCCUUUUUCCUCGAUUUUGUUUUAACCAUUGUACUAGAGCACAGGUAAAUCAUAUUCUUUUUUUGUUUUUUGUUCUAUUAGUUCAAAAACAUUUAGCAUGUUGUUGAAGAUGUUGGCAUGA
Olea europaea var. sylvestris is the source of this 2296-nucleotide long non-coding RNA. RefSeq lists it as uncharacterized. Lineage: Eukaryota; Viridiplantae; Streptophyta; Magnoliopsida; Lamiales; Oleaceae. The record is from RefSeq and is a predicted model, not a curated record. The transcript is spliced from 2 exons.